Molecule: ribosomal RNA, 253 nt
Filed under: uncultured bacterium
Lineage: Bacteria
Description: partial 16S ribosomal RNA
Rfam family: Bacterial small subunit ribosomal RNA
Source: RNAcentral
UACGUAGGGUGCGAGCGUUGUCCGGAAUUAUUGGGCGUAAAGAGCUCGUAGGUGGCGGGUCACGUCGGGAGUGAAAGCCCACUGCUUAACGGUGGGUCUGCUUCCGGUACGGGCGGGCUGGAGUAUGGCAGGGGAGACUGGAAUUCCUGGUGUAGCGGUGAAAUGCGCAGAUAUCAGGAGGAACACCGGUGGCGAAGGCGGGUCUCUGGGCCGAUACUGACGCUGAGGAGCGAAAGCGUGGGGAGCGAACAGG